UCACAGGCUUUAGUCUUUUAUUAACCAAUU
Molecule: non-coding RNA, 30 nt
Filed under: Mus musculus (house mouse)
Lineage: Eukaryota; Metazoa; Chordata; Mammalia; Rodentia; Muridae
Source: RNAcentral